UUAAAUACAGCUUUAGAGCUGAAACAACUAAUCGAUUUAAUCGAUUAUAAUCGAUUAUUAAAAUAGUUAACAACUUUUUUAGUCAUCGAUUAGUUGUUUAAUAAUCAUAUUUUACCGCAUAAAGUCUAUUUUUACCACAAUCUGACAUCGGUUACAAGCUGUUAAAUUUGCCGCCAGUGUGUGGCAGUAAUGAGCCACUGAUCUACCAGUGGAGCCGUAGAAGAAGAAAUGAGCCAAUGAGUGCCCUCGGUUUUCAUGACGUAUCACGUUACUGACGCUCAUCUUGCUGUGAGAGAUGGCGGAACAAGAGGAAAUACGGAAGAAAAUAGAAGCGACAAAACUUUAGAGAAACCCCGGACAAAAACCUCACGAGUAUGGGAGCACUUCAGUCUAGAUGCCUUGAAAAGGCAAAAUAUGCAAAAACCAUCUAGCAUGGCACGGAAGCACGACGUCCCUAAGUGAACAUUUGAGACGAAAACGUGGGGGCUGAGGAAGAGCACCGCGGUCAAGUGAGCCGUCAUUUGGAAGAGCCAGCCCGAAAAAAACAAGCAACGAUGGACAACUACAUGGGGAACAAGACACUCACCCCCCAGCAAUUCAUACCACUUACAAACUCUAUUCUAAACAUGCUGGUAAAAGACAUGAGGCCACUAUCCAUGGUGGAAGGAGCAGGCUUCCAGCUAAUGCUAAAAAAUUAUUCUGGACUGAUAUUUUGCACUGUUUAGCUCAUUUUCUACUGCUGACUGUGUUCAUGUGCAAUAAAAUAGAUUGCAGUCAACUGCACAA
Long non-coding RNA from Nothobranchius furzeri (turquoise killifish), 786 nucleotides. RefSeq lists it as uncharacterized. The record is from RefSeq and is a predicted model, not a curated record. Lineage: Eukaryota; Metazoa; Chordata; Actinopteri; Cyprinodontiformes; Nothobranchiidae.